CGAAGGGUGCAAGCGUUAAUCGGAAUUAUUGGGCGUAAAGAGCUCGUAGGCGGUUUGUCGCGUCUGCUGUGAAAGCCCGGGGCUUAACCCCGUGGUGUGCAGUGGGUACGGGCAGACUAGAGUGCAGUAGGGGAGACUGGAAUUCCUGGUGUAGCGGUGAAAUGCGCAGAUAUCAGGAGGAACACCGAUGGCGAAGGCAGGUCUCUGGGCUGUUACUGACGCUGAGGAGCGAAAGCAUGGGGAGCGAACAGGAUU
This 255-nucleotide ribosomal RNA is filed under the name uncultured bacterium. Its description in RNAcentral is "partial 16S ribosomal RNA". It matches the Rfam family "Bacterial small subunit ribosomal RNA", at positions 526 to 779 of the family's 1533-position model. The record is from RNAcentral.